CCUACGGGAGGCAGCAGUGGGGAAUAUUGCACAAUGGGCGAAAGCCUGAUGCAGCAACGCCGCGUGAAGGAAGACGGUUUUCGGAUUGUAAACUUCUGUUCUUAGUGAAGAAUAAUGACGGUAACUAAGGAGCAAGCCACGGCUAACUACGUGCCAGCAGCCGCGGUAAUACGUAGGUGGCAAGCGUUGUCCGGAAUUACUGGGUGUAAAGGGAGCGUAGGCGGUGAGACAAGUCUGAAGUGAAAGCCCGGGGCUCAACCCCGGGACUGCUUUGGAAACUGCCUGACUGGAGUGCUGGAGAGGCAAGCGGAAUUCGUGGUGUAGCGGUGAAAUGCUUAGAUAUCACGAAGAACCCCGAUUGCGAAGGCAGCUUACUAAACUGUGACUGACAUUGAUGCUCGAAAGUGUGGGUAUCAAACAGGAUUAGAUACCCGGGUAGUC
RNAcentral lists this ribosomal RNA (441 nucleotides) under uncultured bacterium. Its description in RNAcentral is "partial 16S ribosomal RNA". It matches the Rfam family "Bacterial small subunit ribosomal RNA", at positions 338 to 795 of the family's 1533-position model. The record is from RNAcentral.